GCCUGCUAGCCGCGCUCGCGCUCGCCGGUGCCUCCUCCUUCGGCCCACUCCUCACCUCCCUCCUCAAGAAACAGAACAACAUGACGCAGAUGCUGCAGCACACGGUGAUCCCGGAGCGGCCCAUGUUCUACCCGGAGUACCCGCUGCAGGAGCCGGAGCAAGGGGUGGUGACGCUGGAGGAAGACAGGGACCCUGUGGAGAGAGUUGAGGAAGCACUGCAGUGCCUCGCUCAAGAUCUACUUUGAGAGCAUCCUCGACACUAGCAGCAAGAAACCUCC
Long non-coding RNA from Hordeum vulgare subsp. vulgare (domesticated barley), 278 nucleotides. RefSeq lists it as uncharacterized. The record is from RefSeq and is a predicted model, not a curated record. Lineage: Eukaryota; Viridiplantae; Streptophyta; Magnoliopsida; Poales; Poaceae. The transcript has 3 exons.